UACGUAGGCAGCGAGCGUUGUUCGGAGUUACUGGGCGUAAAGGGUGUGUAGGCGGUUGUUUAAGUUUGGUGUGAAAUCUCCCGGCUCAACUGGGAGGGUGCGACGAAUACUGAAUGACUAGAGUGCGGGAGAGGAAAGUGGAAUUCCUGGUGUAGCGGUGAAAUGCGUAGAUAUCAGGAGGAACACCGGUGGUGUAGACGGCUUUCUGGACCGUAACUGACGCUGAGACACGAAAGCGUGGGUAGCAAACAGG
RNAcentral lists this ribosomal RNA (253 nucleotides) under uncultured bacterium. RNAcentral's name for it is "partial 16S ribosomal RNA". It matches the Rfam family "Bacterial small subunit ribosomal RNA", at positions 524 to 776 of the family's 1533-position model. The record is from RNAcentral.